Molecule: ribosomal RNA, 429 nt
Filed under: uncultured bacterium
Lineage: Bacteria
Description: bacterial SSU rRNA
Rfam family: Bacterial small subunit ribosomal RNA
Source: RNAcentral
UGGGGAAUUGUUCGCAAUGGGCGCAAGCCUGACGACGCAACGCCGCGUGGAGGAUGAAGGUCUUCGGAUUGUAAACUCCUGUUGACCGGGAAGAAUGGCCCCUGACUUAAUACGUUGGGGGAAUGACGGUACCGGUUGAGGAAGCCACGGCUAACUCUGUGCCAGCAGCCGCGGUAAUACAGAGGUGGCAAGCGUUGUUCGGAAUUACUGGGCGUAAAGGGCGCGUAGGCGGUCGCCUAAGUCAGACGUGAAAUCCCCAAGCUUAACUUGGGAACUGCGUCUGAUACUGGGCAACUUGAGUUCGGGAGAGGAAUGUGGAAUUCCAGGUGUAGCGGUGAAAUGCGUAGAUAUCUGGAGGAACACCGGUGGCGAAGGCGGCAUUCUGGACCGAAACUGACGCUGAGGCGCGAAAGCCAGGGGAGCAAACGG